RNAcentral lists this ribosomal RNA (325 nucleotides) under uncultured eukaryote. Its description in RNAcentral is "partial 18S ribosomal RNA". It matches the Rfam family "Eukaryotic small subunit ribosomal RNA", at positions 1470 to 1796 of the family's 1831-position model. The record is from RNAcentral.
CCCUUAGAUGUUCUGGGCCGCACGCGCGCUACACUGAUGCAUUCAACGAGCCUAUCCUUGACCGACAGGUCCGGGUAAUCUUUGAAUCUGCAUCGUGACGGGGAUAGAUUAUUGCAAUUAUUAAUCUUCAACGAGGUAUGCCUAGUAGGCGCAAGUCAUCAGCUUGCGUCGAUUACGUCCCUGCCCUUUGUACACACCGCCCGUCGCUCCUACCGAUUGGGUGUGCUGGUGAAAUGUUCGGAUCGGCCGUUUGUCGCGGUUUCCGCGUCAUGUGGCUGAGAAGUUCAUUAAACCCUCCCACCUAGAGGAAGGAGAAGUCGUAACA